GGAAAGGAUUUACGGAACAGUCUACUAGUACGAGAGGACCGGGAUGUACGGAUCACUGGUGUACCGCGGUUGUCGCGCCACGCAAUGCCGGGUAGUUAUAUCCGGAAGGGAUAAGCGCUGAAAGCAUCUAAGCGCGAAGCCCACCUUAAGAUUAGUUUUCC
Molecule: non-coding RNA, 161 nt
Filed under: Desulfofarcimen acetoxidans DSM 771
Lineage: Bacteria; Bacillati; Bacillota; Clostridia; Eubacteriales; Peptococcaceae
Description: Desulfotomaculum acetoxidans DSM 771 Bacterial large subunit ribosomal RNA
Rfam family: Bacterial large subunit ribosomal RNA
Source: Rfam by way of RNAcentral